Molecule: ribosomal RNA, 496 nt
Filed under: uncultured bacterium
Lineage: Bacteria
Description: partial 16S ribosomal RNA
Rfam family: Bacterial small subunit ribosomal RNA
Source: RNAcentral
GAUGAACGCUGGCGGCGUGCCUAAUACAUGCAAGUCGAGCGAACGGACGAGAAGCUUGCUUUUCUGAUGUUAGCGGCGGACGGGUGAGUAACACGUGGAUAACCUACCUAUAAGACUGGGAUAACUUCGGGAAACCGGAGCUAAUACCGGAUAAUAUUUGAACCGCAUGGUUCAAAAGUGAAAGACGGUCUUGCUGUCACUUAUAGAUGGAUCCGCGCUGCAUUGGCUAGUUGGUAAGGUAACGGCUUACCAAGGCAACGAUGCAUAGCCGACCUGAGAGGGUGAUCGGCCACACUGGAACUGAGACACGGUCCAGACUCCUACGGGAGGCAGCAGUAGGGAAUCUUCCGCAAAGGGCGAAAGCCUGACGGAGCAACGCCGCGUGAGUGAUGAAGGUCUUCGGAUCGUAAAACUCUGUUAUUAGGGAAGAACAUAUGUGUAAGUAACUGUGCACAUCUUGACGGUACCUAAUCAGAAAGCCACGGCUAACUACGUG